Xiphophorus hellerii (green swordtail) is the source of this 413-nucleotide long non-coding RNA. RefSeq lists it as uncharacterized. The transcript is spliced from 2 exons. The record is from RefSeq and is a predicted model, not a curated record. NCBI's taxonomy places the organism in Eukaryota, Metazoa, Chordata, Actinopteri, Cyprinodontiformes, Poeciliidae.
CAGUAAAAUUACGGUACUGAAUUGCUGCCUGUAUUCUGGCUACACCGGGGGAAGCUACUCCAGCUGCUCAGUUCAGAUUCAGGGUGUGAAGCUGGGCGAUGCGGGCCAGCAUCACUUCAGGUUUGAGACAAACCAACCGCUGGGGAGAUGGACCUCACCUGACACCAUUACUCUGGAUGUAGCAGCUCGACUCUCCUGUCUAAACAUCAAUGACUCUGGAAGCGGACAGCGAGGUUUCUGGUGCCUGGCUGGAGACGAGAUUCUGAUUCUUUAAGUGCCAAAACAAAAUAUCAGAAUAAAUAGUUAGAAGGCAGAUUUGUUUUCUCUUCAUAAUUGUUUUCAUUAUUGAUGGUCCACGACACAAAAUCGAUCAGUGCUGUAACUAUGAGUUUAAUAAAAUGUUCUUCUUUCAA